Molecule: long non-coding RNA, 1869 nt
Organism: Pseudopipra pipra
Lineage: Eukaryota; Metazoa; Chordata; Aves; Passeriformes; Pipridae
Exons: 2
Source: RefSeq, a predicted model, not a curated record
UGUGUGUGCCCUUUGGGAGCUGAUUGCCAGGGCACCUGUGGGGCUGGGAUCAUGGCAGGGUGUUGUAAGCAAGGAAUGCCUGGCUUCUAAAACUCACCAGUUGUAUCCUAGAGGCUUCUUUGAAGAGCUGAGUUGAGGCAGCAGAAUUGGCCCUGCAGGAGGGACUCUGUGCCUGCUCUCCCGUGGCUCCAAGGGAUCUCUGGCCCUUCACGCCGGCACCGAGAUUUUCUCGGGAAGGGCCUCAGAUCCCCGGACCAGUCUGGGACACAGGCAAGAUCCCCCUGCCUUUAGAAAUGAGGCCUUCUUGUGGCUUCCCCCCUGUACCCGUUGGGGGGUUCCAAAGAAGGCCUCUUGAAAUGCCUUUUGGGCUGUCCAUGGCAAGCUUGAGACCAAAUUGGCCCCCUGGAGGGACAGUGCUGUUGGUGCCCCCCGGGUUGGGGCACCCCGAGGACUCCAGCGCGCACCGAAAGGAUUAUUCGGGGAGAUCCUCGGGGUGCCCGGCCCUGGGGAGCUCAAAGCAAGGUCCCUGCAAUGGAUUCAGGCAUUGCUGAGAGUAGCCUGGACUGUGCAGAGAGGGAGCAGUUUGUCCUGUGGAGUUGGGAUGGGUUUGUUCAGGAUGCCUUGGGAGGCAGGGCUGGAGAGGCCCCUCUGUUGGCUGUAGUGUUGGAAGGUUGUAGCAGCAGGGAUGGAGCCUUCGACCUCCUGCUCCCCCCGUGAGCCCCGACGGGACCGUGCCCUUGGCAAUGGAGGGCCCCCCAUUGCUGAGUCAGCGGUUCCGGGGGCCAGGAGGGAUGGGAUCAGGAUGCCGAGCUCCGCCCAGGGCCAGGGCUGCCAAUGUUCAACCAUGGAGAGAACUGAAAGCAGAGUGAGAUGGAGGCCAAGCUGCAGCACAAGGAUGGGUGAGAAAAGACCCUGGUCCUCAGGUGGAGCUUAGAAUUCCCUGGAAAAAUGGAUCUUUUCAGAUGGUUCAGGCCCUUGUGGGUGCUGGAGCAGAGGCCUCUGUAAUUUAUGGUCACCCUAAAAAGUUGCAAGGACAGCAAGUUCUGACUGCAGGAUGAGGUGGGAAACAAAGUGCAGUGGUCCAGAGAAAAGCUGAGCUUAAAAUUGGUCCUGUGCCAGAGCAGCCUCGUGCAGUGCUUGUUGCUGUCCCUGAGUGUCCCAUUGCAGUGGAUAUUUCCAAGGGUGCCUUGUGCUGGGGAACACUGGGGGCAGUUCCCUUUCCCUGGGCAGGGCAGGCAGGGCACGUUUCCCCCCUCGAGGGUGGCUCCACAGUCCCACCCUGUGCCCUGGGAGCGUGGCAGAACACCUGGAGCCACUGUCCUUGCCAGAGAGGGCACAAGGGAUGGUUGGAUGGGUGAGGGAAUGGUUCAGGGAGUACAAGCACCAUUAGAGUGAGUAGGGCAGCACAUGGAAAGGAAGGGGGGAGUUAAUCCUGACAAAAUUCAAGCACCUGCCCAACCUGUGAUAGUUUUAGGAACUCAGAGGUGUUGUGGUCCCCAGGAACUGUUGCCCAGGACUAGGCAGGAGACUUCAGGCUUGGUCACCCCCAGAGCAAGGUGGAAGCCCAGCAGUUUAUUGGUUGGUUUGGCUUUUGGUGACAACAAGGUCCUCCUUUGGGACCAAUCCUUGGCCCGGGCCAUAAAGUCCCAGGGCAGAAGUGUGAGUUUGAGUGGGAAAUGAGCAGCAGGGAGGGUUGGAAACAGCUCAGGGAGCAAUUCAACAGGCUCCAGACGUGUGGCCAAUACGAGCCAGAGAGGGGGAACUGAAGGUUCCUGCCAGUGAUAAUGAUGCCAAUUGGAGCCUCUGGCAGAAGUAGGGUAGGAAGGAAGUGCCCUUAGGAUUUGGGAAUAGGAAGUUACUGGAAGCCAG